Molecule: ribosomal RNA, 292 nt
Filed under: uncultured bacterium
Lineage: Bacteria
Description: partial 16S ribosomal RNA
Rfam family: Bacterial small subunit ribosomal RNA
Source: RNAcentral
GUGCCAGCAGCCGCGGUAAUACGUAGGGUGCAGGCGUUAAUCGGAAUUACUGGGCGUAAAGCGUGCGCAGGCGGUUUCUUAAGUCAGAUGUGAAAUCCCCGGGCUUAACCUGGGAACUGCGUUUGAAACUGGGAGACUCGAGUAUGUCAGAGGGGGGUGGAAUUCCACGUGUAGCAGUGAAAUGCGUAGAGAUGUGGAGGAACACCGAUGGCGAAGGCAGCCCCCUGGGAUAAUACUGACGCUCAUGCACGAAAGCGUGGGGAGCAAACAGGAUUAGAAACCCCAGUAGUCC